This 585-nucleotide ribosomal RNA is filed under the name uncultured bacterium. Its description in RNAcentral is "partial 16S ribosomal RNA". It matches the Rfam family "Bacterial small subunit ribosomal RNA", at positions 355 to 937 of the family's 1533-position model. The record is from RNAcentral.
UGGGGAAUCUUCCGCAAUGGACGAAAGUCUGACGGAGCAACGCCGCGUGUAUGAUGAAGGUCUUCGGAUUGUAAAGUACUGUCAUUGGGGAAGAACGGUUUUCUUGAAAAGAUUGAGAAGACAUGACGGUACCCAAGGAGGAAGCCCCGGCUAACUACGUGCCAGCAGCCGCGGUAAUACGUAGGGGCAAGCGUUGUCCGAAUUAUUGGGCGUAAGGGCGCGUAGGCGGGCCUUUAAGUCCGGUGUGAAAGAUCAGGGCUCAACCCUGAGAGUGCAUCGGAAACUGGAGGCCUUGAGGACAGGAGAGGAAAGUGGAAUUCCACGUGUAGCGGUGAAAUGCGUAGAUAUGUGGAGGAACACCAGUGGCGAAGGCGACUUUCUGGACUGUAACUGACGCUGAGGCGCGAAAGCGUGGGGAGCAAACAGGAUUAGGAUACCCUGGUAGUCCACGCCGUAAACGAUGAGUGCUAGGUGUAGAGGGUAUCGACCCCUUCUGUGCCGCAGUUAACACAAUAAGCACUCCGCCUGGGGAGUACGGCCGCAAGGUUGAAACUUAAAGGAAUUGACGGGGUCAUAGCUGUUUCC